ACGGUUUCCCCUUUGGGGCGGGUUCACAGGUGGUGCAUGGUUGUCGUCAGCUCGUGUCGUGAGAUGUUGGGUUAAGUCCCGCAACGAGCGCAACCCCUGUUCUAUGUUGCCAGCACGUGAUGGUGGGGACUCAUGGGAGACUGCCGGGGUCAACUCGGAGGAAGGUGGGGACGACGUCAAAUCAUCAUGCCCCUUAUGUCUUGGGCUUCACGCAUGCUACAAUGGCCGGUACAAUGGGUUGCGAUACUGUGAGGUGGAGCUAAUCCCAAAAAGCCGGUCUCAGUUCGGAUUGGGGUCUGCAACUCGACCCCAUGAAGUUGGAGUCGCUAGUAAUCGCAGAUCAGCAACGCUGCGGUGAAUACGUUCCCGGGCCUG
RNAcentral lists this ribosomal RNA (375 nucleotides) under uncultured Micrococcus sp. Its description in RNAcentral is "bacterial SSU rRNA". It matches the Rfam family "Bacterial small subunit ribosomal RNA", at positions 1009 to 1381 of the family's 1533-position model. The record is from RNAcentral. Lineage: Bacteria; Bacillati; Actinomycetota; Actinomycetes; Micrococcales; Micrococcaceae.